UUUCAAUCAAACUUCAACUAGAAAUAGGGUUUCAGCCACUCAUGGCUGAACCAAAACAGAAAAUAAAAGAAAAGAAGAAAAAAAGAUGAAGAACUAAGGUGGAGGAGCCUUUGGAGAGUCUUGAUCAAUCCCUUGAUGGAAGAUUUUGAUUCUUGGUCUUCUUGAGGCCUUUAAAUAGAUCUUGAGAGGCUGCCUUUUUUCCUUUUUAGUGUCCAUGCAUCUUUGAGUGAUUGCCCCA
This 238-nucleotide long non-coding RNA is filed under the name Manihot esculenta (cassava). RNAcentral describes it as "long non-coding RNA (MESC_LNC002192)". Lineage: Eukaryota; Viridiplantae; Streptophyta; Magnoliopsida; Malpighiales; Euphorbiaceae. The record is from RNAcentral.